Molecule: long non-coding RNA, 472 nt
Filed under: Chinchilla lanigera (long-tailed chinchilla)
Lineage: Eukaryota; Metazoa; Chordata; Mammalia; Rodentia; Chinchillidae
Description: lncRNA (ENSCLAG00000025728.1)
Source: RNAcentral
UUAAUAAAGUUUUAUUGGAACUGUCACAUCCUUUUUAUAUGUGUUGCAUAUAUACAAUUUUGUGCUUAAUGGCAGAGAUGAGCAGUUGACUUGGAGACUGUAUGACCCUCUGGGGCUGAAAUAUUUGUGAUCUUCCUGUGUUUAUGUUACUCUCACGUUAAACACUCAGCCCAGAGCACAUGUGAUUCCAGUCCCUUGCCUGGAUCCUACUUAUGAGGACAAAUGUAUCUGCAACCAAAAUAAAUCCCAAGGACCCAUAUGGCUCAUUCAGCACAACCUCAAAGCUCAAGAGAUCAGGGAGAUGCUGUGAAGCCAGGAUCGCAAUUUGCAGGAGAAUGCAGGGUUUGGAACAGGCUGUUCCAGGUGGCAUUAUGAGAGAUCACUGAAUCAAGAUACUUUAAAAAAAAUCCCUUGUGGAGUUGAGAAAUUCAUUUUCAUCCCAACCUCAAUAAAAUUGACUUUCCUGAGAAAC